Molecule: ribosomal RNA, 379 nt
Filed under: uncultured cyanobacterium
Lineage: Bacteria; Bacillati; Cyanobacteriota
Description: bacterial SSU rRNA
Rfam family: Bacterial small subunit ribosomal RNA
Source: RNAcentral
GGCAACCCUGACGGAGCAACGCCGCGUGUGGGAGGACGGCCUUCGGGUUGUAAACCACUUUUCUCAGGGAAGAAGGACUGACGGUACCUGAGGAAUAAGCCUCGGCUAACUCCGUGCCAGCAGCCGCGGUAAUACGGAGGAGGCAAGCGUUAUCCGGAAUUACUGGGCGUAAAGCGUUCGUAGGGGGCUCGUCAAGUCUGCUGUCAAAGGCUGGAGCUUAACUCCGGUAGAGCAGUGGAAACUGGUGUGCUAGAGGGCGACAGGGGUAGAGGGAAUUCCCAGUGUAGCGGUGAAAUGCGUAGAGAUUGGGAAGAACACCGGUGGCGAAAGCGCUCUACUGGGUCGCACCUGACCCUCAGGGACGAAAGCUAAGGUAGCG